Puntigrus tetrazona (Sumatra barb) is the source of this 659-nucleotide long non-coding RNA. RefSeq lists it as uncharacterized. The transcript has 3 exons. The record is from RefSeq and is a predicted model, not a curated record. Lineage: Eukaryota; Metazoa; Chordata; Actinopteri; Cypriniformes; Cyprinidae.
CUUUCAGCAUGGCACGUACCUCAGGUUGCUGCAGGCACUUUUACACCUUUUCACGGACAAAAUAAGGAAGCAGCACCUUAGAGGAGUUCCUUGUGAGGACAGACCAUAUAUGGGCGCGUUCCGGGGAUCGUAUCAGCAAGAAGCGCAGGCAUGAAUGAACGUGCCUGCAGGACGAAUGAACUCUAAGUGCAUGCUGGAUAAUGAAGCAGUUACACAGGCCGAACCCCGCCAGAGGGCGGAGAAUAGGGUGUUUGCUGAGGUGCCAGCAGGUGGUGCAGUCACACCCACAAACAUACACAACUGAAAGAAGACGCGUCACCUGCUUGUGUUUCACUGAAGAGCUAUUUUAUUGCAUCAGGCAUUUUUUGAAUUCCUGUUUGCAGACAUUGACUUAUUAACCACAUACACGGUGGCUCUAAAAAUGUCUGGACAUAUAAGUCUCGCGUAAAAAUGUCUGAAUUUAUUGCAUUUGCAUUCCAUUUUACUUUUCACUUGUUUUAAAAUAGUGUGUGAAUGCAUGAAGUCAGUUCCCAGUAAGCUAACAUAACCUAACAAACCUCCUAUAUAUUUCAAAUCUGUGUAUCUUGAAAUAUAUAAAGCAUCUGUAAAAUAAAAUAGAAAGAAAAAUAUGAAUAAAGUAAAAUAAAAUAAUAAAUAAA